This 1180-nucleotide long non-coding RNA is filed under the name Homo sapiens (human). RNAcentral describes it as "HSALNT0333804". Lineage: Eukaryota; Metazoa; Chordata; Mammalia; Primates; Hominidae. The record is from RNAcentral.
AGGAAGCAGCAGCCUCCGCUCCGCGGCGGGUGUGCUCGGCAGUCACAGACCCACUCAGGACACCUCCCGUUGCCGACGGGCUAGACCUGCAUCCGAAGGGCCUAAGCGGGGAGGAACCGCUUUCCACCACUCUCCAGGGACCUGGGGAGGGAAUGUUUAGGCCGUAGGGGUGGAGGACACAGGAAACGUAACAUUUUUCCUUAACUGCGCCUCUCUUCUUAGGCCUUAAAGGGGUCCCCGUGUCUCUCCAGUCUAGAGCCUAAGUUCAAACGAGGCGUAUAGGCGAGGACAGCAGGAAGGCUCCAAGUCAAACAAACGGAUGGUACGAAUUUCGCCUGGUCUAGCCCUGCCCCAACGGUGUGGGUGUGGGUUGGGUGCUGCAGCCCCCGAGCAAGGGGCUGUCACAGCCACAACCAGAGGAGCUAUGGAGCUGCUACGGAGGAGGGAUUCCAGAGUCAGCUUGGGCUUGUCCCAAGGGAGCCCUUGGGACAGUGUCUGGGGCUGCGCGGCCUGGUUCUCAUCCCUUGCAGCAUCUGCUAUUUUAGCCAGGGGCCACCUUCCUCCAAUGGCCUGGGAGUAGCUAGAGGUUAGAGGUUACACCCACCAGAAGGGAUGUAAGCCCAGGAAGUAGUCAGAAAGGAAAGGUCAUUCUAGAGAUGGGGCCACCUGAAAAACCUUCAGGAGGAAGGAGAAAGGAAAUGGGAUAAGUGUCAUGUCAUACUAAAUAUUUAUUUUCUGCAGACUGACUUCGGAGUAAUUCUUGAGCCAGGAGGGGAGAGGUUAGUGUUCAAAUUGCUGAGAUCUUAGGUCAAAAAGCUACAGAAAAGAAAUCACUUUGAAAAACACAAUGACUCAGAGGCAGUCACCCCUUGCCAGCAAUUCCAAGAGCUGAGGAGGCUUCAUGCCUCAGGACAUGGUGACUAGUUGAGUGAACCAGAGAUUGAGGCAGUGGUUUUUACAGGGGAAGAAACAAGCCUUGGGUGUAUGGGAGCAGGAAAGGAGGGUGACAGACUGGAGAAAUGAUAAAGGCCAUUUUGGAAGCCCACAGGGAAGUGGUCUUGGGAAACCUGAAGACACUGGGAUAUUCAGAAGGCCAAGGGGAUCCAGCUUAUCCUGUUGGGCAAGGUGCUGGGAGUGAAGGCAGGAACUACCAAAGCCACGGAUCAGCUGAGUUACCCGG